Molecule: long non-coding RNA, 1472 nt
Filed under: Equus caballus (horse)
Lineage: Eukaryota; Metazoa; Chordata; Mammalia; Perissodactyla; Equidae
Description: lncRNA (ENSECAG00000047755.1)
Source: RNAcentral
CCUCCCUUCUUCCCUUCCUCCCUCCCUCCCUUCCUCCCUUCCUCUCUUCCUCUCUCCCUCCCUACCCCCACCACGUGCACAGAAGAAAGACCAUGUUGAAGACACAGCUGGAAGGUGCCGUCUGCAAAUUAAGGACAGAGCCCUCACCAGAAGCCAAACCAGUCGGCAGCUUGUUCUUGGACCUCCAGCCUCCAGAACUAAGGGAUGCCCUGAACCCAGAAUCUGCGCUGAGAAAUUUAGCAGAAGAACUCUGGUCAUCCAGGAGAGCGACUCCCGACCCAAGAGGACGUUAGAGAGAAUCAUGUCAACAAGAGGUCACCCCGCAGUGAGAUUCUCACCAAAGAAAGCCUCUGGGGCCCUCUGGUGUUUCGCCGUGUGGGUUACCGGGCAGGGCCAGCUUCUGAGAGAACCUUGGUGGGCUGACCCUCAAGACCUACAUCUGGAUUUGACCUGAAAACCGUGCGCCCUGCCAGCUGCACCAGGCGAAAAUCUGAACUGCCCUUGGUCUCUCCUCUCCUUCUGCUGGUGGUCCUUGCUCCAAGGUGGACCACCGUCUAUCUACGACUCCACACAUCCACCACUAUGAGCCGGGCUGCCAGCCUCUGCCACCUCCGCUCCCGCAGGAGCGUCCGCUCUGCCCCCUGUGCUGGUCCUUUGCCUGUUGGCAUUCAAAUCCCAUCUCUCUCUCUGCCCUCUCUGCAUCACAGGAACUACAUUUCCCAGGCUCCUUUGCUCUCUGGAGUCUGGGUAAAUUCCAGCAAUGGGAGAAUAGAGGGAGGGAUGAAGGGAGAAACUGGGGAGUUCCUGACCCUCUGCCCGCUUCUGGCGGCAUCCCUGGGCAGCAUGGCACCCCCUCAAAGUUUCCACCUCCAUGGUCCCAGCCCCAGCAGGGACCCCAACCCAGGUUCCCCUUCCUGCCAGAUGGCUCCAGCUCCCAGGCUCAGAUGUCCCACCACCUCUUCCCAUUGUCCCUUGGGCCAUUAGUGCAAAGACGUUUCCUGCUGUUGAUCGUUUCUGGGUCCCCUCAUUGGACUUCUAAGCUUUUCUAACUCUCGUGGAACCAAUUCCCUGCCUUUACUACCCUCUGUUUGAAACACCUAGACCAGACCCCAACUGGUACAUUCUUUCCUGCCAUCCAUUUUCUACCCAACAGCCGGAGUUAUGUUUUUAAAAUGUAAAUUAAAUCACGUCACACCGGCUUAAAACGCUCCAAUGACUUCCAUCACCCUUAGAAUAAAAUCCAAAUUUCUCAUCACCAUCUACAAGGUCCUUCAAGAUCUGCCCCCUGCCUAGCUCUCUACCUCAGCACACGCCUCUAUCCCCCUCACUCUGGCCUUCAUUCAGGUCUCAAACUCUCGAAGCCCUCCUCUGCCUCAGGGCCUUUGCACAUGCUCUUCCUUCACCUGACAAGCUCCAUUCCCUGCUAUCUACUUGGCUCACUCACUCCUUUUCCUCCUUUAUGUACCAGCACA